This 380-nucleotide ribosomal RNA is filed under the name uncultured cyanobacterium. RNAcentral's name for it is "bacterial SSU rRNA". It matches the Rfam family "Bacterial small subunit ribosomal RNA", at positions 376 to 770 of the family's 1533-position model. The record is from RNAcentral. Lineage: Bacteria; Bacillati; Cyanobacteriota.
CGAAAGCCUGACGGAGCAAUACCGCGUGAGGGAGGAAGGCUCUUGGGUUGUAAACCUCUUUUCUCAGGGAAGAACAAAAUGACGGUACCUGAGGAAUCAGCAUCGGCUAACUCCGUGCCAGCAGCCGCGGUAAUACGGAGGAUGCAAGCGUUAUCCGGAAUGAUUGGGCGUAAAGGGUUCGCAGGUGGCUGAGAAAGUCUGCUGUUAAAAGUCGGGGCUCAACCCCGAACCGGCAGUGGAAACUACGCAGCUAGAGUAUGGUAGGGGCAGAGGGAAUUCCUGGUGUAGCGGUGAAAUGCGUAGAGCUCAGGAAGAACACCGGUGGCGAAAGCGCUCUGCUAGACCUGUACUGACACUGAGGGACGAAAGCUAGGGGAGCG